Molecule: long non-coding RNA, 1160 nt
Organism: Canis lupus familiaris (dog)
Lineage: Eukaryota; Metazoa; Chordata; Mammalia; Carnivora; Canidae
Exons: 3
Source: RefSeq, a predicted model, not a curated record
UCCAGUUAUGCGUUCCCUUGGAGCCAGAACGUGUCUGUUUUAUCCACCAGCUUGGUCCAAGCCUACUAGUUGUCACCUGAGAUCUGUUCUCUCCUUCUCUCUGAAAGUGACAGAUCUCCGAUGUUUGGUUGGCCUGUGUUCACCCAAAAGAAACACCACACUUCCCAGCCUCCCUUGCAGCUAGGUGUGGCCCUGAGCCCAAUUUCUGGCCAAUGGGGUAUUGUGAGUGGUCACAAUGUGCAUGACUGCUGGCUGUGCCCUUCCUCCUUCACCUCCUCCUGCUGUGGAAUACAGGUGUGAGUUGGGCUGCCCUUUGAACCAGGCAAACAGAGGCUUCACUCCAGAAAUGCCCAGCAUCAAGGCGCCCCCUGUGACCACCUGCGGGACUGGCACGGGCUUCAGGACAAAGCAGGGUGGAUGGCCAGGGAAGCCUUUGAGGCACCCAGCUGAAGGUCACAGAGCUGCGGUCACCGAGAUCCCCAAGGGACCAUGGAGAGCCAAGCCCCUGCCCACCUAGGACCUCCAUCCUUGACUGUUUGAUGGGAGAACAAAACAUUUCUCUAGGGUUUAAGCUGUGACUUUUGGGGGUCUGUGCAUGACAGCUGUUCAGCCUACCCUAACUCACACCAUCUUCAAGGGUAGACUUCAUCUUGGGAGGUACGGCUGCCCAGGGCAGUCAAGAAUUUGGAUGCGUGUGUGGGCAGGGCAUGUAGGGUGGGGCAAAGUCUUGGGCACACACAGGUGGCAGGCCCGCUGGCCAGUCCCCAUGCUGCUGCUGACAAAAGAUCCUCACCAGGCAGUGGGAGGCUAGUGUGAGGGCUCCUCAGCUGAAGUUGGCCAGGCCCAGCCCCAUGGCAGGGUCCCACUCUCCAACCCCAUCACUCCCUGGCUCUGGUACAGCCACCGCCUCCCACCUCGUGGAUGUCCCGGGUGUUGGCCUGUGGCCUGCUGCAGCGUAGGACCCUACCCGAGCCUCCUGCUCUCUCUCCCUAUCUCUCUCUCACACACAGAACCUGACUGCCCCUUACCUGCCCUCUAGCGUGGACACUCACUCACUCUGGUACUGCCCAGAUCUGCUAAUGGUGGGUAGUGACGCUGGGUCCCCGGACCUCAAAUGGCCAGAGUCCCAGAAUUCAGAAAGCCUUAUCUCUCAAAGUCAC